AUAAGUGUAGUAAAUCCUAAAUCUAUUUUAUUACUUAAUUACGGUUAAGUUCUAUCAUCUGGAUUAUAGUUUUUCAUGCUAACUGCUGGGAGAGAAAAAAAGGUUGUACGCUGUUUAAUUGUGUUAAAAGUGUGUUUGAGAAGAGGGGAGAAGAGAGGACUGAGAAGAAUAAGAGUAUUUUGUGUCUGAAAAAUAUGGAUCAAUAAUGUUAUUAACUACUAGUAUAAUUUUACUUCUUGACAAAAAACAAAGAGUGUUAACUACUAGUAUAAUUUUAGGGCUACUUUGAAUCGUAGGAAUGAAAAAGGAGGAAUAGGAAAAACAUAGGAUUCUGACAGGAAUGUGUUUGUAAAACAGAGAAUUGCAAAACAUAGGAAAAACACAGGAAUGAUCGUUUGAUUGGACCACAGGAAAAACACAGGAAUCGGAUGAGAGAGAUAGACUCAAAGGAUUUUUACCAAGAGGUUGGACCUCUUGCUAAGUUUCCUUCAAAACCUAUAUGCAAUAUGCAACAAGCCAUUCCAUCGGAAUUUUGUAGGAUUUGGAAAACUUCAAUCCUUUAAAUCAAAGGGUUACAUAGAAAAAUUUCCUGUAGGAUUUCAAUUCUAUGAAAUUCUUUCAUAAUUCCUUUGAUUCAAAGGGGCUCUUACUUCUCGACGAAAAACAAAGAGUUAGGCCUCCUUUGAAUUGGAGGAAAAAUGGAGGAAAAACAAAGGAAUUGAAAUCCUACACUAUUCAUGUCUUUGAUUCGUAGGAACGAGAAAAGGAAAAACGUAGGAAACUUUCCUAUUCCUACAAUUCUAGAGCAAAAACGUAGGAAAGUUAACAUCCACUCUAACCUCGGAAAACUUUCCUUGAGUCUAUCUCUCAUGUGAUUCCUGCAUUUUUCCUGCGGUCUAAUCAAACGGUCAUUCCUAUAUUUUUCCUAUGUUUUGUAAUCCUCUGUUUUACACUUGCAAUCCUACCAAAAUCUCGUGUUUUUCCUAUUCCUCCGUUUUUUCAAUCCUACAAUUCAAAUGGGCCCUUAGUAUAAAUCAAAUCCAAAUCUACCCAAAAUUGUCCGUGAAAUCUGCUAAACCUGUGGUGUUAAAUCUGGCUGGUUGCCUGUCUUCCAUAAGAGGAGAGAUCUGGAGCGUCGCUAUCUCAUCCAACGGUCACUUGGUGCCCCUCCCUGUCCUGUUACGCUUGACUACUCUCGUUGCCACGUCACUAAGCACAGCCUCAUCCUCUUCUUCCCCGCGCGGACGAAAAAUCGCGCCGCUCUCCGGCGCAAAACUGCAGCGAGGCGAGCUCGCCCUCGCCUCCGGCUACUCCGAGCCGCGCCGCAAUGGCCGCCGCGCCGGUGGCCUCCCCAUUCCCGGCGCUUCCCUCCUCCUCCUCCUCCACCACCAUCGCGGCCUCCACCGCCGCGCGCCGGUGCCACGACGCGCUGCUCCCACCGCCAGCCGCCGCGGGGCGCGAGCCGGCUCGCACCAGGGGAUCCUCCUCCUCCUUGGCUGGCGCCGCGGGGGAGAGGAGGAGGCGGCGAGGCGAGGAGGAUGGCGGCGAGGUCGAGGCCGAGGCGGAGCGGCGGCGAAAGGAGGAAGUGAACCGUAAGAUCGCGUCCCGGAAGGCGCUCUCCGUCAUCCUCCGCCGCGAGGCCACCAAGGCCGUCCUCGACAAGCGCAAGCCCGGCAAGGGCACCCGCCGCCUCCUCCCCCGCACCGUCCUCGAGGCCCUCCACGAGCGCAUCACCGCCCUCCGCUGGGACUCCGCCCUCAAGGUGUUCGAUCUAAUGCGCGACCAGGUGUGGUACAGGCCGUACGUCGGGAUAUACGUCAAGCUGAUCACCAUGCUGGGCAAGUGCAAGCAGCCGGAGAGGGCGCACGAGCUGUUCCAGGCCAUGGUGGACGAAGGCUGCGCUCCCAACCUCGAGUCCUACACGGCCCUCGUCUCCGCGUACAGCAGGAGUGGCCGCUUCGACAGGGCCUUCUCCUUGCUCGAGCAGAUGAAGGCCACCCCUGGUUGCCGACCUGAUGUGCAGACCUACUCCAUUCUCAUCAAGUCAUGCUUGCACGCCUAUGAUUUUGAGCGGGUCAAGUAUUUGAUGGAAGAUAUGGCGCGGGCGGGUAUCCGUCCCAAUGUCGUGACUUAUAACACAUUAAUUGAUGCCUAUGGGAAAGCAGGAAGGUUUGCUGAGAUGGAAUCAACUCUUCUGGAGAUGCUGACUGAAAAUUGCAAGCCUGAUGUAUGGACAAUGAAUUCUACUCUCAGAGCUUUCGGUGGCAGUGGUCAAAUUGAAACUAUGGAAAGCUGUUAUGAGAAGUUCCAGGCCUCCGGUAUCUCCCCAAACAUUAAGACUUACAAUAUUUUACUUGAUUCCUAUGGUAAAGCUAAAAUGUAUGAGAAGAUGGGAGCUGUGAUGGAAUACAUGCAGAAGUAUUACUAUUCUUGGACAAUAGUCACAUACAAUGUAGUUAUUGAUGCAUUUGGAAGGGCUGGGGACCUUGAACAGAUGGAAUAUAUUUUUAGAUUGAUGAAAUCUGAGCGUAUAAAGCCCAACUGUGUUACACUCUGCUCGUUGGUUCGAGCAUAUGGAAGGGCUGGGGAUGUUAAGAAAAUAAAGACAGUGUUGAGAAUCGUUGAGAAUUCUGACAUAACGUUGGAUAUUGUGUUCUUCAACUGUUUGGUGGACGCGUUUGGGAGGGUGGGGUGCUUGGCGGAGAUGUGGGAUGUUCUUGAUAUAAUGAAAUUACAACGAUGCAAACCAGACAAGGUAACCUGCACUACCAUGAUUAAAUGGUUUCUCAUCAAAGGAAUUGAUGAUCAUCGUGUUCAGUACCUACGGGACUUAAAAGACGGGCGAUCUAAAGAUAACAUAUAGGCACUAACACUAAGCAGACAAUGUCAGAACUUCAGUUUGCAAGAUGGAACAACCUGUCAGAACACUAAGCAGACAAUGGUGAUAUUUGUUCUCCGUAAUUUUCCAAGAAAGAUGGAACAACCUGUAAGAACUCCAGUUAGCAGAGACACAUCAAUCUUAGCCUGCUCUUUGUAGGUAGCUUCAUUGUUACUUAUUCAACAUGUAAUGUACACAACACAACAAUGAAAGUUUGUUUUACGAUCUUAACAAUGGAGCUAUUUGACUGCAUCUGGCAAAACUGCCUAUGGUUAUGGCAUCCCAUAAAUGAAUUAUGUCUUGAGGAUCUGAGCAAGAUUUUGCUAUCCGAGCAAACGGAUCAGGACAAUGAAAUAAAGAAGAAGGCCUUGACGAACAGUGAAUCUUAAGUGUCGGUGACCAAUCAGUUAGAUUGUGCUGUGCUGUUGUGACUUGAUGUAUGGAUCAUACAGCUGUACAUGAUAUUCAGUAUUGACUCGUGCAAAGAUGGAGAGAAACUUAAGUGGUUAUGAAUUACAUGUUGUAGACUUCUGUGUGCUCCCUUUUGAUUAUUCUAGCAUGACAGAUGAUUUGUUGGCAUUUCACUUAAAACAUUUUUGUGCUAUCAUUGCCCUGCAAAUAGAAAAGGAGAGAGAAUGGGCACCUAACAUAUGGACCAAGGAAUUGUUCUGAAGGAAGAUUCUCCAUGAGGCAUCAACAUUGAUUCGAUAAGAGCUUCAAAGCCUCAAAGAGAACUUUGUUCCGGAAGCAUUUAGAUUUUGGCAGCUUGGCACUGAACUGGAGCGGCUCAUUUUCAACAUCAUUUGUUGCUGCUGCAUGUCUACCUGGGCCCUCCUGUUGUAUGAACAUCAAAAUCUUCCAACCUUCACCAAUCAAUGCUACUACGUACUAUAUAGCAAAAUACUGUGUACUGUUAUGCCAAGCUCUGGCUAGUCUAGUCGAUGGCGAUGCAGCCGGAGCAACUGCAACCGUGCCGGGCCAAACACAGCUAAGUGCUAGCUAAACUGCACAGGAACUGAUCUGAUCACCUAUAAUUAUCUCUCUUUUUAGAACAUGAUCAUCUAUAAAAAUCAUGAUUUAUGUAUAGUGGGGGAACAUCUAAUGCCACUAUGCCACCAACCCGUGCACAGAUCACAUGAAUUGCAGCCCCUUUUUUUUUCAAGAAAUAGAGGUAGAAUAUACUAUAAUGAUCUGUUGUUGGGGUGGUUAAUUAAAUUGCUGAUUUGCUGACAAGAUUUGUACUAGAAGGAACAGAAAAUUCCAGAUAGAAACUCACUCAUUUUUUCCUUAGAAAAACAUAAUAAAACCAUAGUGACUGUUAUGAGUGAUGCUGAUGAAUGGCUGGCCCAAUAUUCUGCUAGGAAUUCAUAGUUAGGACUUGGAAUUUGGACUCUGCCAGUGAGCAACAACUGGCCAACGUGGGUCCGGCCAAACUAAAGACUCGGAGAAGAGAACACACUACUUGGACUGUGGACUACUGGAGUAUUAUUGGAUGCAGAUGAACGCAAAGCAUCCAGGCCUUUUCUUUCUUCUUCCUGGUGUUUACUGGUCAGUCUGCCCAGUCCACUUCGUUUCUUUGCUUCCCUUUUUUGUGGCUUCAGGGAGAUGUUGCUGCCCUGUUGCUGAAAGCAAAAGCAAAGGUGGAAGGUGAUGAACAGGUCAGGAAACUAUUUAAGCCAGUGAUUGCUUCACUUAUUAUUACAGAGCAACGACUUGUUCUUCUGAACACAUAUUUGUCGGAGUUAAAGAGGGCCCGGGGUAUAUACGACGCAUAUAUACCGCAUUUGAUAAAACUCCAGGUCCGAGCAAUACGUGGUCGCUCGUGUAUCUUGUAGAAAAAAUAGGUGGUACGCCCUGUUGCUAGCUGCUGCCGUGUUGUUUUCCUGAGUUUAUGUGUGCCCCAAACGUCUCCUUUGUUUGCUGUUCGCUCAAUCAGCCGUCCAUCUGUCUACGUGUUCCAGUGGCUUUUUUUCUACGGUAAUGUGUGCUUGGAUUGUUGCUGCUGCUGCUUGACGACAAGGGAGCAUGGGAUCGAUGUGAUUUUAUGUUGCAGUCGUGUUCCUCUUGUAGUCGUAACCUAACCGGUGAAAGCCAAAGGUAUAGCUGUGAAUAUUGAGUUAAUUUCUCUUUGGGUUGUCUUUUAUUACCGAUAUUUUGUUUUGGAUUAACUUUUAACAAACGUAUUUAUUUUGGAUUGGAUAAUUUUACCUUUA
Oryza sativa Japonica Group (Japanese rice) is the source of this 5091-nucleotide non-coding RNA. The record is from RefSeq and is a predicted model, not a curated record. Lineage: Eukaryota; Viridiplantae; Streptophyta; Magnoliopsida; Poales; Poaceae.